This 87-nucleotide transfer RNA is filed under the name Alphaproteobacteria bacterium. RNAcentral's name for it is "tRNA-Leu". It matches the Rfam family "tRNA". Rfam says of the family: Transfer RNA (tRNA) molecules are approximately 80 nucleotides in length. Their secondary structure includes four short double-helical elements and three loops (D, anti-codon, and T loops). Lineage: Bacteria; Pseudomonadati; Pseudomonadota; Alphaproteobacteria. The record is from RNAcentral.
GCCGAGGUGGCGGAACUGGUAGACGCGCUAGCUUCAGGUGCUAGUGACCGAAAGGUCGUGGAGGUUCGAGUCCUCUUCUGGGCACCA